Loxodonta africana (African savanna elephant) is the source of this 82-nucleotide small nucleolar RNA. Its record names the gene SNORD115. It matches the Rfam family "Small nucleolar RNA SNORD115". From Rfam's summary of the family: HBII-52 is a member of the C/D class of snoRNAs, which contain the C (UGAUGA) and D (CUGA) box motifs. The record is from Ensembl. Lineage: Eukaryota; Metazoa; Chordata; Mammalia; Proboscidea; Elephantidae.
GGGGAGUGCCAAGAUACUUAAACUCAUCUUGAACAGAGAUGAUGACAUAAAAACAAUGCUCAAUAGCAUUACACUGAGACCU